This is a non-coding RNA of Ictidomys tridecemlineatus (thirteen-lined ground squirrel), 1012 nucleotides long. The record is from RefSeq and is a predicted model, not a curated record. Lineage: Eukaryota; Metazoa; Chordata; Mammalia; Rodentia; Sciuridae.
CACUGCCAAAGGAGAGUCUCACAGCAAUUCUUGGCCAUCCAGGCAAUUGUGUUGAAAGAACUAUCUGCCUAGCAUCUCCUAGGGGUGAGAGCCAAAAGUUCUCUGGAUGAUGUGUGAUGUGAAGCAAAGCUCAGAUGGUCACCGAGAAGGGAAGAAUUAUGGAGUUACUGGUAUGUUCCACAGGCGUGUCUCAUGUUACAACAUAUAACAUUUCGGACCUCAUCCAAAAAAAGGAGACUUUACAAAACAACACAUUAAAAGACAAUGUAUGUGUCUUUAGGAUGAAAGAAAUGACACCCCAAAACCUCAGAAGCUGCUUAGGUCUGACAGUCUGCCACCACCAAAAGUAAAAGAGAAGGGUGUUGAAGUUCCAGGAGUUGUUGUGACAGAGGGACCCAAAGACACUAAGAGAAACACAAGUGCCUCUCCUGUCAGGGCCACGGAGCAUCCAACUUACUACCAUGCAAUGUGGGUAAACAGAGGGCAAUACAGAACUCAGCUGCUGCUCACAUGUCUAACUGGAUGAUGGAUAUAUUUGGGGGUUGCCAGUUGCUGCAGCUGGGACAAUUGCACCCCUGUCACUAGUCUCUUUAUUAUUCUGAGGUAUGCUUUGCUCCUGGCAGUGGUAGGUGAGUGACUCAAGGUUUUCCUAUGCGCUAAGUAGAAGCUUUUAAGAAUUGGCCUUGUUUUCCAAAAAAGUUCAAAGAAAUUGUGACAAGAAUGGUAAAGUCAAACAUGCUUUCUGAAGCUUAUCUUUUAUUUGGUCCAUACCAUGGAUGUCACUGCUAAAAUUCAUGUCUUUCUAGAACUAAAUGUCUACAUUUAGUUAUUAUGCCACCCAUGUUUGUGACUGGAGCAUAUUGAUCUGAAGAAGAAACAUUGCUCCAGUCCCUGGUAGUCAGGAACCCUAAAUCCUCAUCAUGGUUGAAAAUCAGUCCACUAUCUGACCAAAGCAGGUCCCAAAUCCUGAGCUCUCAGUUAUUCUUUUAUCAAAUAAAGCUAUUUUAAAUCA